AACGGGGGGAACUAGUGUUAUUCAUCAUUAUUUGGCGUAAAGGGGGCGUAGACGGUUUUAUUAAUACAAAUAAUUAUCAUUAAUUAUUAUUUGUAGAACUAAAGCUAGAGUUUAGAAGAGGAUCAGGGUACUUUAGAAGUAAAGGUGAAAUUUGACUAUAUCUACGGGACCACCAAUGGGCGAAAGCGCUGAUCUAGUAUAAAACUGACGUUAAAGAGCGAAAGCAUGGGUAGCAAACGGG
This 241-nucleotide ribosomal RNA is filed under the name uncultured bacterium. RNAcentral's name for it is "partial 16S ribosomal RNA". It matches the Rfam family "Bacterial small subunit ribosomal RNA", at positions 524 to 776 of the family's 1533-position model. The record is from RNAcentral.